AUGCCCAGGCCACAUCCGGCCGCCGGCAACACGUUCCACCCGCCAAAACGCGUCGUGGCACUUGUGCGCUGGAGCCGCCCUCCGUUGGGUUGGUGCAAGCUGAACUUUGACGGAUCAGUGAAGCAUGACGGGUCCGGGCGUGCCAGCAUCGGAGGGGUGAUCCGGAACAGCACUGGCCACGCCAUAGUGGCGUACGCGGAGAAGACGGAGCAUGCGGGCGUGGGCGUGGUGGAAGCUCGGGCGCUGAUGCGCGGGCUUGAGCUUGCGCUCGGGAUGGGGUGCAGCUCGCUGGUGGUGGAGGGAGACGAUCUGACCUUGGUCCGGCUGCUGCGCAGGGAGUCCCGGCACACGCGUAUCCCGUCGGCGAUGCACGACGAGAUUGUGCGACUCCUAGGCUGCUUCAGGGUUUGGCACGUGCAGCAUGUGUAUCGUGAGGGGAAUCAGGUGGCGGACACACUCUGCCACGAGGCUUACCGGUGCCCUGACGUCUGGACGAUGGACUGCCCGCUGCCGCUCGCCGUUUGGACCAAGGUGGAAUGCGACCGUCGUGGCGUUGUGUACGAGCGACUUCGACCGGCGUGA
This 582-nucleotide ribosomal RNA is filed under the name Triticum aestivum (bread wheat). RNAcentral's name for it is "partial small subunit ribosomal RNA". The record is from RNAcentral. Lineage: Eukaryota; Viridiplantae; Streptophyta; Magnoliopsida; Poales; Poaceae.